ACGGUAGCAAGAAGGAUCAAUCAAAAGAGGACCAUCAGAGACAACCAUAGUAUGAUUUUGCUUAAUGGGAAAUUCAAUCGAUUUAGAGGCUCUCAAACCAGCGCCGUCCAAAAUAUCGAACAUAUAUUUGUGUUGCGACAAAAGCAGACAGGAUGAACAUCGAACAACUUCAAUGCAGAGAAAUUAUUUUAAGGUGCGAAGGUCCUUAAUGUGGAAACAUCCGUUCAGGUAGUGUUUGAAGGAGGCACAAGCUUC
RNAcentral lists this long non-coding RNA (255 nucleotides) under Carica papaya (papaya). RNAcentral describes it as "long non-coding RNA (CPAP_LNC008491)". Lineage: Eukaryota; Viridiplantae; Streptophyta; Magnoliopsida; Brassicales; Caricaceae. The record is from RNAcentral.